This 263-nucleotide ribosomal RNA is filed under the name uncultured bacterium. RNAcentral's name for it is "partial 16S rRNA". It matches the Rfam family "Bacterial small subunit ribosomal RNA", at positions 1155 to 1417 of the family's 1533-position model. The record is from RNAcentral.
GCGAUAAGUUGGAGGAAGGUGGAGANNAAAUCAAGUCAUNAUGGCCUUNAUGUCCNGGGCUACACACGUGNUACAAUGGGCGGUACAAAGCGCAGCAAACCCGCGAGGGGGAGCAAAUCGCAAAAAACCGUUCUCAGUUCGGAUUGCAGGCUGCAANUCGCCUGCAUGAAGCUGGAAUCGCUAGUAAUGGCAUAUCAGAACGAUGCCGUGAAUACGUUCCCGGGCCUUGUACACACCGCCCGUCACAUCACGAAAGUGGAUUG